UACAGAGGGUGCGAGCGUUGUUCGGAAUUACUGGGCGUAAAGCGCGCGCAGGCGGCCUUUUAAGUCUGACGGUGAAAUGCCGGGGCUCAACCCCGAGUCGGCCGUCGAUACUCCCGGGCUGGAGCACUGUAGAGGCAGGUGGAAUUCCGGGUGUAGCGGUGGAAUGCGUAGAGAUCCGGAAGAACACCGGUGGCGAAGGCGGCCUGCUGGGCAGUAGCUGACGCUGAGGCGCGACAGCGUGGGGAGCAAACAGG
This 254-nucleotide ribosomal RNA is filed under the name uncultured bacterium. RNAcentral's name for it is "partial 16S ribosomal RNA". It matches the Rfam family "Bacterial small subunit ribosomal RNA", at positions 524 to 776 of the family's 1533-position model. The record is from RNAcentral.